RNAcentral lists this small nuclear RNA (129 nucleotides) under Trichomya hirsuta. Its description in RNAcentral is "partial U2 snRNA". It matches the Rfam family "U2 spliceosomal RNA", at positions 27 to 155 of the family's 192-position model. From Rfam's summary of the family: U2 is a small nuclear RNA (snRNA) component of the spliceosome (involved in pre-mRNA splicing). Complementary binding between U2 snRNA (in an area lying towards the 5' end but 3' to hairpin I) and the branchpoint sequence (BPS) of the intron results the bulging out of an unpaired adenosine, on the BPS, which initiates a nucleophilic attack at the intronic 5' splice site, thus starting the first of two transesterification reactions that mediate splicing. Lineage: Eukaryota; Metazoa; Mollusca; Bivalvia; Mytilida; Mytilidae. The record is from RNAcentral.
CAAAGUGUAGUAUCUGUUCUUAUCAGCUUAAUAUCUGAUACGUGCCCCAUGUGGGUACUUCGAUAUUAAACUGAUUUUUGCAACUAGGUGAGAUGUAAGGUGCUUGCACCGCUCUUGCCACGAGUUGGC